CUACGGGAGGCUGCAGUGGGGAAUAUUGCACAAUGGACGAAAGUCUGAUGCAGCAACGCCGCGUGGAGGAUGACACAUUUCGGUGCGUAAACUCCUUUUAUAUGAGAAGAUAAUGACGGUAUCAUAUGAAUAAGCAUCGGCUAACUCCGUGCUAGCAGCCGCGGUAAUACGGGGGGUGCAAGCGUUACUCGGAAUCACUGGGCGUAAAGAGCAUGUAGGUGGAUUAAUAAGUUGGAAGUGAAAUCCUAUAGCUUAACUAUAGAACUGCUUCCAAAACUGUUGAUCUAGAAUGUGGGAGAGGUAGAUGGAAUUUCUGGUGUAGGGGUAAAAUCCGUAGAGAUCAGAAGGAAUACCGAUUGCGAAGGCGAUCUACUGGAACACUAUUGACACUCAGAUGCGAAAGCGUGGGGAGCAAACAGGAUUAGAUACCCCAGUAGUC
Molecule: ribosomal RNA, 439 nt
Filed under: uncultured bacterium
Lineage: Bacteria
Description: partial 16S ribosomal RNA
Rfam family: Bacterial small subunit ribosomal RNA
Source: RNAcentral